GAAAAGCAGUUUUACUGAAUUUACUAAAAGGAUACACUUACAAUCUACUUAAUAAAUUUAUGUUUAAGAUGGAAACAUAAUUGUAUUGUUUUAAUUCUAAAUGAAAUUCAACAUAAUCAUCAAAACAUGAUAUAAUCACUUUGCAAGAAAAUGUUCAAAUUGUUUCAGAUGUCAAACAAAUGGUGUUCAUGUAAAAUGAUUUUUUUCUGCCGUUUGAUUUAUUUAAUUAAAAUAGGCCCCUGUCACACAAUUACUUUGUAUUUUCUUCUCAACUUAAUUCCAUUGUGUAGGCUAUAAUUAAUUUAAUUCAUGUUUGUGAAAUACGUCGUUUGCGCGGGAGCAACGCGCGCGAGAGCGUCUGCGCAUGCGCUUUGAAAUCCAGACCACACCAGGACCGUUGGUUUGGAAAGGACACAUGAGGGUACUGACUGUCUUGUUUUCAGAGCUCGUUAAAAGUGACAUUUGCUGUACAUUUGGAAUUCCAAAGCCUGUUCAGACAAAUUACGAGCUAAGUCAGUCCCCAACAAAGGCAGUUAGCCUUGUAGAAGUCGGUGAAUUAACCGAUGAAUACUCCUUGGCUGACUAUUUGAUUGGACAUGUGCAGAUGGUAACGUUAAAGCGAUUUUUCUGCUGCAAAGGAUGACAUUGAUGCAGCUUGUGAACUUGCCAUCAGAGGACUGUGUAUCUAUCUUAAUGAGGACUCUAAAGAUCUCAUUCAGGAGUAUGCGGACAUGGAAGAAGAUCUUUUACAGUGUGCGAUUGAGAAGACUACCAUGGGCAUCUUCGUGAUAAAGCACACUGCAGACUAUGAAGCCCAUGAUGUAGGCAUUGUGCUAGAGGGUGUAGCAGUGCUUCAGGACAUCGACAGUGUGGAUUUUGCAACUUCAAUGUUUUUGGUCUAAUUUAUGCUCUUAACCUGCAGUACCCCACAAAGUUGCGUUUUACAUAUGAAAUUUAGCAAAAACUCAUCAUGGACUUGGAUGCGGGUGAAUUCUCUAUCAAGGCCCAAAAUUUCAAAUCUGAACUCCACCAGUGAGAUGGACUGAUUUUUGAAUGACUACUGAGACUACAAACAAUCAACCUCGGAAAAUUUCAGCAGCCUUCAUGCAAGACCACCGCAGAGGGUAAACCGUGAUCUUGUUGUUUAGACUGUUCCCCUUUGCCUGCUCUCGUUUCUUUAUCUUUUUUUUUUGUCUGAAUUUGGCCCUUCUUUGGACUGGCUCAGAAGUUGAUUGAUUAGACAGCUGAAUCUAUGAAACAUGGUUGAACUAGCAUAAAUAAGAUACUUUGUUUAUAGUUUAGGUAAGGGUCAGAUACUGUAUUUUCACAUUGUUUUGUAAUGUCUAUAUAUAAUUAUCAUUGAAACUAAAGCGUUUUUCUUGAAAUAACAUUUCCAGGUAGGGCUGCACGAUAUUGGGAAAAAAUGACAUUGCGAUAUUUUAUUUUUCUGCGAUAUAUAUUGCGAUAUGAAAUCUAAUCUAUUUUUUUCUUACAAACAAAAAUUGGGUGAGCACACUUACAUUCUCAUUUUAAAUGAUGUAAACAUCGACACCAUCGUGUCAAUUGAUUAAUAUGUGCAAGGGAGAGAGAGCAAGACAGCGCUCGUGUUGUUUGAAGCUGGUGAGCUUGCGGCCGGGGCUCACUCUCUCUCUCCCUCUCUCUUUCUCUCUUGCAUGCUCUCUCUCGUGCUCUCUCUCUCUCUCUCUCUCUCUCUCUCUCU
Molecule: long non-coding RNA, 1720 nt
Organism: Carassius auratus (goldfish)
Lineage: Eukaryota; Metazoa; Chordata; Actinopteri; Cypriniformes; Cyprinidae
Exons: 4
Source: RefSeq, a predicted model, not a curated record